This 383-nucleotide ribosomal RNA is filed under the name uncultured bacterium. RNAcentral describes it as "partial 16S ribosomal RNA". It matches the Rfam family "Bacterial small subunit ribosomal RNA", at positions 355 to 755 of the family's 1533-position model. The record is from RNAcentral.
UGGGGAAUAUUGCACAAUGGGCGAAAGCCUGAUGCAGCAACGCCGCGUGAGUGAUGAAGGUCUUCGGAUUGUAAAGCUCUGUCUUUUGGGACGAUAAUGACGGUACCAAAGGAGGAAGCCACGGCUAACUACGUGCCAGCAGCCGCGGUAAUACGUAGGUGGCGAGCGUUGUCCGGAUUUACUGGGCGUAAAGGGUGCGUAGGCGGAUGUUUAAGUGAGAUGUGAAAUACCCGGGCUUAACUUGGGUGCUGCAUUUCAAACUGGAUAUCUAGAGUGCAGGAGAGGAGAAUGGAAUUCCUAGUGUAGCGGUGAAAUGCGUAGAGAUUAGGAAGAACACCAGUGGCGAAGGCGAUUCUCUGGACUGUAACUGACGCUGAGGCACG